This 524-nucleotide ribosomal RNA is filed under the name Conus tessulatus. Its description in RNAcentral is "partial 12S ribosomal RNA". The record is from RNAcentral. Lineage: Eukaryota; Metazoa; Mollusca; Gastropoda; Neogastropoda; Conidae.
ACGGUAAAGAUAGUUAGGCAAGUGAUAAUAAGGACCAUAAGAUCUUUAGUGGAGGAGUAAAAUCUAGACACUAAAAGUUAUACCGGACGUGGUUUAUUUUCGAUGCUGAAUCUGUGAUAGCUUUAAGGGAAACUGGGAUUGGAUACCCCAUUAUUUAUAGUUGUAAAUUUAGUUUGAGCUUACCAGAGUACUACGAAUAAAUAGUUUAAAACUCAAAGGGCUUGGCGGUGUUUUAGACCUCUCAGGGGAACCUGUCUCAUAAUCGACAAUCCACGCUAGACCUGACCUUUUAUGGCAAUACAGCCUGUAUACCGUCGCCGUCAGGUAACUUCUUAAAAUAUAGUAGUUAGCUUGAGAAUUUUAUUGAUUAGGACGUCAGAUCAAGGUGCAGCUAAUAAAGAGGUGAGGAUGGGUUACAAUUACAUAUUUGUAAAUACGGAAAACACUUGAAAUUAAGUGUCUUAAAGGAGGACUUGAAAGUAAUUUUAAUUAUAUAAGUAAAAUGAAUAAGGCUCUGAAACGUG